Molecule: long non-coding RNA, 709 nt
Filed under: Trifolium pratense (red clover)
Lineage: Eukaryota; Viridiplantae; Streptophyta; Magnoliopsida; Fabales; Fabaceae
Description: long non-coding RNA (TPRA_LNC001551)
Source: RNAcentral
AUGGCGGUUCCGACAAAGUCGUUGUGUAUGAAAGGUUCCUUCUAUCGCCGCUUCAAUUGAUAUUUUCCUUGAAUUCAAAAUCAAAGUUACUCCACGUAUCUAAGUGAAAACAAAAAAAUAGAAUCAGAUUCAUUUGAAACAACAACAAUAAGAGAAACAAAAAAUCAUCAAUGGGUAUUUUGAAGGUAAUAAACAAUGAAAUCUAUAAUCAAAACUCAAAAAAUUCAAGGCCAAUAAGAAGAGAGAAAAGCAAUAAGAAGCAAAUGAGAAAAAAAAAUUGAUGUUUACCGUUGAUUGUCUUCUGCAAGCCAAUAAUGAAGAAAAAAUGGAGGAAAGCAGUAGAAAGAAGAAUAUCAAAGGGCUAGGUGGAAAACAGAGAGAAAUAGGGGGAGGUUUGAGAUUCAAAAUUUGAAGGUGUUAUUUUGAAUUUGAAAUUUGAAUUGAGGAGCUUGCAGCAAUGUGAUUUGUCUCUGAUAAAGUUGUUUUAGGUUGCAUGUAAAAGGGAUGAGUGAGAACAAUUCAGAAUUUGCCUAAACAAUAUUACCCAAAAUGAAGAGAUGCUGAAAGGGACAAGACCUUUGUUGCUUCUGACCAUAUUCUUUCUUUUUUUCAUCUGUUUGGGCUUCUCGCAAUGGGCCUUGCAUUUUCGACCCAGUUUUCUGGCCCUUUGAUCAUUUCUUCACACUUUUUUCCCUCCAUCAACAAUUUU